Molecule: non-coding RNA, 30 nt
Filed under: Rattus norvegicus (Norway rat)
Lineage: Eukaryota; Metazoa; Chordata; Mammalia; Rodentia; Muridae
Source: RNAcentral
UGAGCUUAAGGUGAUCCCUAUGAAAUGCUU